Molecule: ribosomal RNA, 787 nt
Filed under: uncultured Acaulospora
Lineage: Eukaryota; Fungi; Glomeromycota; Glomeromycetes; Diversisporales; Acaulosporaceae
Description: SSU rRNA
Rfam family: Eukaryotic small subunit ribosomal RNA
Source: RNAcentral
AUGGUAGGAUAGAGGCCUACCAUGGUUUUAACGGGUAACGGGGAAUUAGGGUUCGAUUCCGGAGAGGGAGCCUGAGAAACGACUACCACAUCCAAGGAAGGCAGCAGGCGCGCAAAUUACCCAAUCCCGACACGGGGAGGUAGUGACAAUAAAUAACAAUAUGGGGCUCUUACGAGUCUUGUAAUUGGAAUGAGUACAAUUUAAAUCUCUUAACGAGGAACAAUUGGAGGGCAAGUCUGGUGCCAGCAGCCGCGGUAAUUCCAGCUCCAAUAGCGUAUAUNAAAGUUGUUGCAGUUAAAAAGCUCGUAGUUGAAUUUCGGGAUUUAUCCGUCGGUCGGGCUUUUGGGUUUGUACUGGCGUGAUGGAUUCCUACCUUCUGAAUAACCGGCAUGUCAUUAAUUUGGUGCGCCGGGGAAGCAGGACUGUUACCUUGAAAAAAUUAGAGUGCUUAAAGCAGGCUUAUGCCUGAAUACAUUAGCAUGGAAUAAUGAAAUAGGACGGCAUGGUUCUAUUUUGUUGGUUUCUAGGAUCACCGUAAUGAUUAAUAGGGAUAGUUGGGGGCAUUAGUAUUCAAUUGUCAGAGGUGAAAUUCUUGGAUUUAUUGAAGACUAACUUCUGCGAAAGCAUUUGCCAAGGAUGUUUUCAUUAAUCAAGAACGAAAGUUAGGGGAUCGAAGACGAUCAGAUACCGUCGUAGUCUUAACCAUAAACUAUGCCGACUAGGGAUCGGACGAUGUUAAUUUUUUAAUGACUCGUUCGGCGCCUUACGGGAAACCAAAGUGUUUGGG